UACGUAGGGGGCAAGCGUUGUCCGGAUUUAUUGGGCGUAAAGAGCGUGUAGGCGGCCAGGCAGGUCCGUUGUGAAAACUCGAGGCUCAACCUCGAGACGUCGAUGGAAACCAUCUGGCUAGAGUCCGGAAGAGGAGAGUGGAAUUCCUGGUGUAGCGGUGAAAUGCGCAGAUAUCAGGAAGAACACCUAUGGCGAAGGCAGCUCUCUGGGACGGUACUGACGCUGAGACGCGAAAGCGUGGGGAGCGAACAGG
RNAcentral lists this ribosomal RNA (253 nucleotides) under uncultured bacterium. RNAcentral's name for it is "partial 16S ribosomal RNA". It matches the Rfam family "Bacterial small subunit ribosomal RNA", at positions 524 to 776 of the family's 1533-position model. The record is from RNAcentral.